UACGAAGGGGGCUAGCGUUGUUCGGAAUCACUGGACGUAAAGGGCGCGUAGGCGGCUUUAUAAGUCGGGGGUGAAAGCCUGUGGCUCAACCACAGAAUUGCCUUCGAUACUGUAGAGCUUGAGACCGGAAGAGGUAAGUGGAACUGCGAGUGUAGAGGUGAAAUUCGUAGAUAUUCGCAAGAACACCAGUGGCGAAGGCGGCUUACUGGUCCGGUUCUGACGCUGAGGCGCGAAAGCGUGGGGAGCAAACAGG
This 253-nucleotide ribosomal RNA is filed under the name uncultured bacterium. RNAcentral's name for it is "partial 16S ribosomal RNA". It matches the Rfam family "Bacterial small subunit ribosomal RNA", at positions 524 to 776 of the family's 1533-position model. The record is from RNAcentral.